RNAcentral lists this small nucleolar RNA (104 nucleotides) under Sorghum bicolor (sorghum). RNAcentral describes it as "Plant small nucleolar RNA R71". It matches the Rfam family "Plant small nucleolar RNA R71". Rfam says of the family: R71 is a member of the C/D box family of snoRNAs containing the C (UGAUGA) and D (CUGA) box motifs. Multiple nearly identical copies of this snoRNA have been identified in Arabidopsis, and it is thought to function as a 2'-O-ribose methylation guide for 18S ribosomal RNA. The record is from Rfam by way of RNAcentral. Lineage: Eukaryota; Viridiplantae; Streptophyta; Magnoliopsida; Poales; Poaceae.
AUUCCAUGAUGGGGACAUUCUAGGAUGUAGUCUUGGAAGCGCUCCCAUGCUUCUGGAACAGAUUCAUCACUUUGUUGCUGAAAACAUAAUCUGCCCAUGGGAAA